AUGGCUCGGGCUUCAUUGUUGUCACAAGAUUGGAUGAAGUUCUCAUCAUACAAGGAGCGUCUACUUGGUCUUUCAUUUGGUUUGCUUUCAACCAGGCACCACGAUUUAUCUUACAACCUUACAUGGCGUACCUUGACUGAUCCGUCACGCCUCGCGUCAGCGUCCAUCAGAAGGCAGUUAGGGCAUAACCUUCUAUCUGCAUUGAAAUACACAUACAAGAUUGAUCAAAGGGAUUCACAUAUCAGGCCAACAAAAGGAUAUGCAUUUCUCUCAUCCUCUCAAGUUGGUGGUCUUUGGGAUAACAAAGGAUUGAAUUUUUUUCGCCAGGAGUUUGAUGUUCGUGGUGCCUUGCCUUUUGGAUUCUGGAACGCUGCUCUCAAUGUUGGUGUAGGAGCUGGUGUUGUUUUACCACUGGCAAGAGGAUUUAUGAAUUCGUCUACACCUGUGACUGAUAGAUUUAACCUGGGAGGUCACUCUUCUCCAGUUUGCAGCCUGGGUGGAAUAUCAUCCUUGCUCGGUUUCAGAACAAGAGGGGUUGGCCCGACAGAAGCACGGAGGCUUGUCCCCGGCGAGUCGGAAGAUGGUUCUGCUGCUGUUCCAGGGAGGGAUUACUUGGGUGGCGAUCUUGCAGUUUCUGCCUUUGCGGACCUUUCCUUUGAUCUGCCUCUGAAGGUGUUUAGAGAUGCUGGAAUACAUGGUCAUGCGUUUCUCACUGCUGGGAAUCUUGUGAAACUGUCGGAGGGCCAGUACAAAAACUUCUCGCUUGAUGAAUUCCGUCGUUCGUUAGGAGUAGUGCUGGAGUUGGCAUUAUUUUGCCGACUAAACUGUUCCGGGUCGAGGUGA
RNAcentral lists this ribosomal RNA (843 nucleotides) under Triticum aestivum (bread wheat). RNAcentral describes it as "partial small subunit ribosomal RNA". Lineage: Eukaryota; Viridiplantae; Streptophyta; Magnoliopsida; Poales; Poaceae. The record is from RNAcentral.